RNAcentral lists this long non-coding RNA (1006 nucleotides) under Struthio camelus australis. RNAcentral describes it as "lncRNA (ENSSCUG00000013994.1)". Lineage: Eukaryota; Metazoa; Chordata; Aves; Struthioniformes; Struthionidae. The record is from RNAcentral.
UGGCACUCUGCCACGGCGGGGCCGCGCUCGGCUGUGGGGACGUAAACGCACACGAGGUAGCUGCACAUCUGUGGAAGCUUUAACGGCCAUAAACCAGCUGUGGGAACAGGGGCAGCAGCAGUGACGGGCUUUCCCGGCACUCAUGGCCAGGCUGAUUGCGGCGACUGAUGGACUGACUGUUUCAAAACACCUCAAGUGCCUCCUUGUGUCUCUCCAGAUGGACUGGCCAAACAAGCCAGUUGGAUGGUUUUGCUGGAGCUGUCCAGUGUGUGACUAGCCCCGUCUGCCCCAGGGCAGCAGUGCAUGGAUCAUGAUUGCCCUCAAUCCCUCCAAAGUGAAACAGCGCUCAGAACGAGUGGGUGUGAGUACCAGCAGCAGGAGAUGGUCCGUUUCUGUUGCAGCUAAGUUUGCUUACAGAUUUCCAGAACCAUCAUUUACAAAGUUCAGAGGCACAUUGAUGAAUCCCCUUGCCGGUUCAGUAGUGCUUCAAUCAAUCAUCAAACUAACAGCAUCAACAUUUUUCCUGGGCUAUUAUCAUCACUUCAAUUGCUGCAGCAAUACUUUCUGCACUGCUAAAUCAAGGAUGAUCAUUUCAGACGGGCAGAAACGUGAAUUUCCUGUUGCGCUAGAGGCUGAGAAAGCCAUCGGAGAGCCGCAGACAAGCGUUAGAAAGCCAGAGCAGCGCCACGCGAGCGUGGACAUGGUACCGGAGGGAUCGAUUCGGAGCCACGAGCGAACGCCCACAGAGUCGUCCCUUGCCGUGCCAGCAGGAUUUGUGCAGUGCCUGCUCCGAGGUACUGCCAGUUCUGUUUCUCCUGCGCCCCUGGAAGGCUCUGCAACAGAAGGGGAGGAUUUAAUCUCAUGUAAAAUCUGCUGUGGAACAGAACCUGCCCUUCCUAAGUUUUUGGUCAAAUCCCAAGGUGCCAGGACCAACAGCGAUCAUGGCAGCAAAAUACAGCUACGUUUUCUUCUGAACUGAGAACCAAGUAGACAAAGCUGGUGAUAA